UACGUAGGGGGCAAGCGUUAUCCGGAUUUACUGGGUGUAAAGGGGGCGCAGACGGCGAUGCAAGCCAGGAGUGAAAGCCCGGGGCCCAACCCCGGGACUGCUCUUGGAACUGCGUGGCUGGAGUGCCGGAGGGGCAGGCGGAAUUCCUGGUGUAGCGGUGAAAUGCGUAGAUAUCAGGAGGAACACCGGUGGCGAAGGCGGCCUGCUGGACUGCAACUGACGUUGAGGCCCGAAAGCGUGGGGAGCAAACAGG
This 253-nucleotide ribosomal RNA is filed under the name uncultured bacterium. RNAcentral's name for it is "partial 16S ribosomal RNA". It matches the Rfam family "Bacterial small subunit ribosomal RNA", at positions 524 to 776 of the family's 1533-position model. The record is from RNAcentral.